Long non-coding RNA from Phasianus colchicus (ring-necked pheasant), 7442 nucleotides. RefSeq lists it as uncharacterized. The record is from RefSeq and is a predicted model, not a curated record. NCBI's taxonomy places the organism in Eukaryota, Metazoa, Chordata, Aves, Galliformes, Phasianidae.
CUUCUCAUCUACACUAACCAAGCCCUUCACCUGGGGCCAGAGCAAGCAGCAGGAUGAGAAACCUCCAGAAACGCUGAGGUCAAUUCUACAGCAAACAUUUGCCUAAGGCCCUCACCCAGGCAGCAAGCUCAGGCCUCUUAUUUUCCAGAACUUAUGUGAAGAACUUUGGGCAGGGAUAGUGGUGAGAGACAUGCCUGCAGACCACCUCCAUCAGAAGAGUCCAGCACAAAGCCAGGCCCCUUGUUGGCACGGCCACAGGCCAUAUUAACUUGUCGCCUUCAAUAUGCACCCAGCAGAGUUCAGGUCAUGGAUUUGUUGGAAGUUCAUCGCUUAUUCAAGCUUUUGUGUGAGGGGUCAUUGCUGUCAAACUGUCUGCUUUCACAAGCACAAAAGCUCAUGUUAAAAUGUAAAUACUUACAGGUGUUCCACCAGGCACUCAAGAUGAAAGUCAGAGCAAAUAUAUUAGCCCUAGCUGUAUUUUACCACGCUGUAGUACUUGAAAGUCAUCUGUUUGUGAACCAGGGGUUUUAUGUGGGUUCAUCUGCCUAGACAGGAAGCGUGAUCUAAUGGUGAAGACACAGCACUGAAUACAGAGCAUUUGGGUUCUUUUGCUGACUCUGUUACUGUCUCUGUCACCUUCAUUAAACGUAUUUUUCAUGCCAUUGUCUGGAUUGAAAAGAACACAAGCAGAUGCUUAUUCUGUUUUAUACAGCUGCUGUGACCCUGUGUCAUUUCUGCUAAUUACUUCAAGAAUACCCAAAUGACAUAGGAAAUGUUAAUCCAACUUGUAAAUUAACCUGAGUUAACAAAGAGCAUUGGCCAUAUAAAAGAGCACGAAGUCCUUCCCAAUGCCUGUGCUAUGCUGUUUGUUUUUCAAGACAGACUCUCUGCAACUUAUUAUUACUUCAGCCUUGAUGGAGACAGUGUUUUGCACAUUCAGCUUUGCAACAAACCUGGAUAGGCUGGCUUACCCCUGUCAACUGCAUUGGGACACUGGAUAGCCCUUGUAAGCCAUUCAAAUACAACUUCUGUGCAGGGGUAACGCCACAGUACGAGCAGCAAGACUGAGUUGGCACAGCCCUACUGGGAAAAUCAACUCCCCAACUGUGGGAAGAAGCAAGGCCAAUGGAGACAGCAAUCACCACGUCACCCUGAAAUCCAGUUUCACGUCCAGUCCAACCUUGUUCUGUGAUUGAGCAGCACAGUUCUGGAAAAGCUGGUAUCCUCUUCCCUCAGCAUUUCAAACCACAUGUUGUGACUUUGAGAAACUGCACGAACGCUAAAUCAGUAGGAUCAUCUACAGCCUGAGAGCAACUUGCAUUCACUUCAUCACAGGAAAUUUUGCACUGUGAAUCCCACGUCUGAGAGGUCAAACUGCCCCACAGCCCUCACUCACAGAGCCUUUCACUAUCAGGGACUCUUGCUAUUAACACACAAGGGAAGACAGCUUGAGUAAACCACACCAGCGGUGCGUGUGCCAUCUCUGCAACAGCAAAGGGGAGCGGAAGGGAGCUGCCAACAGCAGAUUGCUGUGCACUCCCCUCCCCUGCUCAAGUAAUGGCAGGAGGGAAAGAGAGCACACACAGGACUGCAACCUGCCGUAUCUCAUUCAGCAUCCCCAGGCAAGCCAGAGACUUCUCAAACACAGUGUGAUGUUUGAAAGUACGAUCUGCCACAGCAUGGCAACUUCUCAGAGACAACACAGGAUGGAGAGAAGGGAAUGGCACUGAUGGACUUAUCUAACAGCACCCAACUGUUCCCAGCCACGUUUCUCUUAAAAGAAAAAAGCAAGCAAGCAGCAAACACUGCAGACACACACAAGCCUUACAGUGUUUCUACUUUCUGCUUCCUGCUUUUGGUAACUUGUUCUACUUUUACGCAUUUCUCCUAACUCUCACUCGCUCAUGCAAAACGUUCCCAUCCCUACAGAAAGCAGAGGUCUGUUUCAGAGAGAGGAAAAAAAAAAAAAAAAAAAAAAAAAAGCAGUAAUGUUUUUUACACCCUGCCUUCUCCUCUUACUGCAGCUCCCAGCUGUGCCCCCCGGCCCCCCGCAUGCGGUGCGGGCUUUAAGGAGCGCUGGUUCUGCUGACAUCAGUGAGGCUCCGGGGGCCAUCCCGGCAGCUGCUGCUGCUCCUGUUGGUGGCGGCGAGCCAAGGCGCUGCUCUGCCGUUUGGUGAUGUUCCCUCCUGCUGGCUGCCCCCCUCCCACCCACACGUCUGCAGGGUGGGGCGAGGUGGUCACUGGCAGCCUCUCUGAGGAGACCGAAGCGAAAAAAAAAAAAAAAAAGAGCAGCUUUCAUUUCCAAACUCUGGUCCAGAAGUGACUUCUGACAGCCAUGCUGUGAGGUGAAGGAACGGCAGUUCUCCUUUCCCGAUGGCUGAGGCCCACAUUGCCCUUAGGACUUUGCCACCUAAAGGAGAGAAAUGCACACUCUCUCUCCCCACUCUUCCCAGAGCCCCACUCCGUACAGCUGCUGCCCUGUCUUAAACCAGACCCCAUCCUUGGAGGCAGCUGUUCCCCAGCCAAAUGCUGACAGCAGAGCAGCAGAGCUCUCCCAAAAGCGCGACUUGUGUGCAAGCCAUCUUCCAGCAGCAGGAGAGGGGCCGCACUGCAGCCCUUCUUCCCUCUGCCACUCCCUUGCAAAGGCAGCGUGAGCUGUGUCAGGGCACCCUUUGGCCCGGCUGACCUCACAGGCACAAGAUUUCAGCAGCCAGCAAUCCCAGCAGCGGGGAGCAUCCCUGCGCUGAGCCGCAGCCAGAUUCAGGGAGAGGAAAGGUGGCAGCCAACUUCGCGAACGCUCUGAGAGCCUGCUCAGACCCCAUGUCAAGAUUAGGAAAGUAUGCACACACACAGAACACAUGAGCUGCCCCAGCGCUCGGCUUUAACUCUUGCAGGCACCGUGCGUGGAUGGAGUUGGAGCUCAGAGCCACUGCUGUCACCGCGUCUCCUCCAAGCCGGCCCCUCUCAGGCCACGAGAGCAGCCGCACGGCCUCGAGCUGAGCAGUGCUUUCUCAAGUAGGUCAGAAACCGAAGCCAGUGAGACGCGCUCUGAGCUGCAGCUCACAUGGGUUAAAGAUUCUGGCUUGUGUCAUGAAUACUUUUUCUGCAAGUUAAACACAGGCCCUAGUCCUGAAACACUUCCCUUCGCUUCACCCAUGCCAGUAUUUUGACUUAAAUGGAACAACCUCCUUAAGUAGAAUUAUAUCUAUGUUUGAAGUGUCUGCAGGAUCAGCGCUUGGCAUGAUCCACGCUUGCCUCCGACGUACACGCACACCAGCACAUUUUAAACAUACCUGAAGAGCCACUAGGAUGAGCUGUGCUACGAUGGAGAAAAAAAAAGAAAGAUGGUAAGUCCCUCCACAGCAAAUGUUCUAUCUUUGUGUGUGCUAGGAUGGUUCCUUGGGACAGGAGAAGUAGGGAUGUCUAAAGGCUACAGCUGGAAGCAAGAGGAGAAACCCCAAACCUACAUCUGGCUGGGCAAAGCUGAGCCUCAAAGCUGAACAUACACAUACACCACCAUCUCCAGAAACAAUUUUAGGUGUCAUUUAUGAUUUUUUUUUUAUAAAGUUAUUUUUCCUUAGAAGAGGCACAUCUAAGUGCAGCAAUGUCAGCAGUCCUAAACUGCAAAGAAACCUUCUUCAGCCAAGAAACCAAAUCAUCGCCUUCGUCUCACGUACCCCGAACAAACACAGCAGAUACCAGCACGAGUUCCUCUGGAACAAACCAGUCAAAUUAAUUCAAAUCUUCACGGAGUGCAGCAGGGCAAAACCCAUUCCUGUUCCCAGAGCUUAUUACAGUAACAUGACUAAACAUGCUCAGCAGCCCAAUGUGAUAGGAUGCAUCCAUUUGCUGAUGCCAGACGAAGAUGCAUGUCUCUUACACAUGGCACCGCUCUCAGAGGCUGCUUUCAAAAGAUGUUUUGAAAAGCGACCUGCUGCGUACAUUCUUAACAAGUCAUAGUAUCACCGGCUGCGCGAGUGUUUGACCUCUACUUGCUAUGUGCUGCGGACAAAAAUCUGACAUCAGCUUAUUCCAACCUUAGCAACACCAAAGUGCUCUGACAAAGCUGACAGCAGCAGGCUACUGCAAUGCACCCACAUCGCCCAGACGGACCCCCAACGUGCUGAGAAUGCAACCAGUUUAGUAGGUGAGCCACAUGUUUUAAAUUUGGGUUGGUUUAAUCCAAGUAAGAAACCUGAUUAAAAUGGGAGUCUUCUCUGGAGGUCUAAUUUCUAGCUGUUUCCAUUACUCCAUAUGCUUUCAUGUUGUAUAAACAUAACAAAUGAUACAUACAUCACUGUUGGGGUGAUUUAAGAAUCCAGUUUAAAGCUACAAUGCAAGUCACUCAAGGCAGGAGAAUUAGAUUACGUUCUGAGCAGCAAGAGCCAGCAACCGCACUUCAUUUCACUCUUGGGAACAUGAUGUAUCAAGGGGGUGAUUCCUUUCUAUUCCCAGUUUCUUCUUCUAAUUUCUGCAUUUCAGAAUCGUAACAUUUGCCAUUUCUAUAUACUGAUGUAUAGAUAAAAUGAAAGAGAAGGACGCGGUCUGAUCGUGAUGCCUUAAGACAAGCAUUAAAUUGAAGAGAAUUUUUGCUUCUAAACCAAACACACCAUCUUCCUGAAUAUAUACUUAUACUACUAUCUAGAAAACAAUCCUGAAUCUUUGUCCCUCAUGUGCAGUCCAGGCACUUACAAUGAGAGCCUUCUGAAUCCUGCCUUGCAACCAAAGCCCUCUGUCCAUAGGCAGACACCUCAGCAGCAGCAGUGCAGGUUCCCAGCAUGCCUCAACCUUGAUAUCUGGAAAGCCUCCGCUAGGGCGUAAGAAGAUAGUUACAAUUAAACAUUUAUACUGAGGUAGUGCUGAGCAGGUCAGUUCCACAGUGUGUUAGGUGGCUUUUCAAAACUCGGUAAUUGAAUGCUGAUCCCUGCCCCGAAGAGUUUACAGCGUAGGAAAUCAAAGCGUAACACUUGGCAUCUGUAUACUGGGAAUUAAACAAAGACCACCACUCUGAGGGUCUCUGGACUACGCACCCCGUAUAAACAUCCAUUACCAGAAACAGUGGAAAUUUUUAAAUCAGCACCCUGGACUUUCCUACUACACAUCUGUGCUACUGAGCUGUGUCUGAAGUACCCGCCGGGACAGCAAACACAGUGUGCAGUUUGUGCAGUGUGCUGACAUCUCCUUGCUCAGUGUAAAUCAUUUUUGGCCCAAAUACCUUUUAGCGAUCAUUCUGAAAAGAAAGCCAGUGAGCGCACAAACAGAAGCACUUACUGCAUGCAAGUCACACGACUGAGGCAGUGCUGGCAAGAAGGGCUGCCAGUGUGCCCAGUCACAAGCCAGGCAUCAGCAGCUCCUCCUGCACAAGGUCACUUGAGGCUCCCAGCCGACACCAGGGAGACACCAGCACACGUUGGCUAUUGGGCCAACUGCAGCCCCAGGCAAGCCCAUGGCAUUCCCAAUCUACUGACCCACAUCUUUUCCUGUGGAGAUCGAGAGUUACGCAAGAGUGUAAAUAAAAACUCUGCCCCAAACAUGCAGGGGCCGUCCGCCCCACAUGCAUCCUCGGGGAAAAUUCUCCACAUUCCCCUUUUCCUGGGGGGGAAGGAUAGGCCUGGGAAGGACAAGUCUCCUCCUUCUCAUCAAGGGGAAUGCAUUCACAAAAACUAAAGCAUAGUCUCUACAAUUUAGAAAAGGGAUGCAGCAAUGCCCAUGCUGUUUCGGUGAUGUCCAAACCCAAGAUAGAAGACAGUUUCAUCAAACAGGCUAUUAUAGCUCAAAGUCAGUUUGUUGUUUAUCAAAGUCCUAAAAUAGAUGCACUGAUUUUAUAAGCACACCUGUAGGAAUUCCGAGCACCAGAAAAAUACAAAGGCACUAUUAGUAUUUCAGCUUUUUAAAGUUUCCUGGCAUCUUUCGUGCUAUGAAUGCUUGGGAGCUUUCAGCUGUAUAUACCCCACAUAAAACCUUCAUCCAGUGAAAUCUGAAAGAAAGUUGAUUCGAAUGAAGCCAUGUUUUCCACCUCUACAUGCUAUUUACACAUCUGUUGAUCUAUUAAACAUGUCAAAGCAGCCAGAUGAGACACAAUUUGCGUUCAGCUUGGCUUGCUUGAUAGUCCUGCCAACACCCCACUUUCAUUUGCUGACUGUUCAGUGUUUAAGAUGAGAAACCUUACCACUUACUCCAAUCCUUUUUUUUUUUUUUUUUUGCCUUGGGAACCAUGGAAAAUCCUCAGUCACUAGAUUUAAAGAGCUUACAUGUUCCAGGAGCUUUGAAAGCAGAGCCUGGGAAUGGCUUGAAGUGUCUUUAACAGGGCUGCCGAGCUCAUGGAAUCCACCAGUUUCUUCCUGCAGAGUUCACAAUGGGCAUGGCUUGUUCCCAGGGUAACUGGCAUCCAUGGGGAGGUACAGAUCACCUCACCCACCCCCAGGAAGUGGAGACAGACCUCCCACGAAGUGCAGGGAAUUAGGAGCACGGUGCUACAGCUUCUCAGCCAUUUCACAACACGGCAGUCAGGCUCCUGCCAGUUCAAGUACUGCUAAGAGACCUUCCUGAGCAGAAAAGCCAUCUAUCUGCUGUGAAAGCUGGACGAUGAGCCAAGACCUGUUCCACAAGCUGCCUAGGACCACAGUUUUGAAACUCACUUGGAAACUGCAUGCAGUUCCACUUUCUGGACCUGCAGGGUUUCACCUGACAAGCAACCCUCCUCCCACAGCUCUCCUUCCUCCUGUCCAAAAGCAUCAGGACCUAUUUUCAAAAAAUAUUUGUUGCACUACAAGUUGAUGUGAACAUCAAUUCAGGAUAUCUUCAGGCUUUUGGAAAUAAGGAGGGGACAAAGCUGGUAAAUGCAUGCACAAGACGCCCUAGCCACCUGUUGUCCUCAAUACACACACAACUUCAUCACCAUCAGAAAAAAAGGCGCACACAGAGGAAGAACAGCACACUGGUAUUCACAUCCUGAUGCUUCAUGUCUGCUGAGAGAUGAUUUUAAUCAUCUGAAUUUAAUUUGAUGAAGAAAACACAUUCUGUGUAGUGAACAAGGAACUUAAGCCAGGCUCUUUCCCCUGCCCAAAGCUGCAAGUGGACCAAAUUAAAAGUGACGUUGCUCCCUAAAGGAAAUGAAAGGAAGUACUGAUACUUAAUGUGCAAAAUACAAAGCAGUUUCUCCCUUGUCCAAGCAGCAGCGAUAGCAGUGUGAAGGAGCACGGCCUCAACACAGGAAUGGAAUUUAUUGCUGUGAUGCAAGUACUCCAAGCAGAACACUCCCAGGCACUGAUACAUCUGCACACUAACAUCACCUGCUGUAUGGAACGGGACUAACAGGGGCUCUCACUCAAACCAGCUAAUCUCACACAAUAAAAGAAAGGCAGCCAUGCUUCAAUGUGAGCAUUUCGCUCCUCUCAUCUUUAGGGAGCAGGCAUAUACCUAAAUUAACAAAAAAAAAAGUU